Molecule: ribosomal RNA, 429 nt
Filed under: Chloroflexota bacterium
Lineage: Bacteria; Bacillati; Chloroflexota
Description: Chloroflexi bacterium partial 16S ribosomal RNA
Rfam family: Bacterial small subunit ribosomal RNA
Source: RNAcentral
UGGGGAAUAUUGCACAAUGGGCGCAAGCCUGAUGCAGCCAUGCCGCGUGUGUGAAGAAGGCCUUCGGGUUGUAAAGCACUUUCAGCGGGGAGGAAGGCGAUAAGGUUAAUAACCUUGUCGAUUGACGUUACCCGCAGAAGAAGCACCGGCUAACUCCGUGCCAGCAGCCGCGGUAAUACGGAGGGUGCAAGCGUUAAUCGGAAUUACUGGGCGUAAAGCGCACGCAGGCGGUCUGUCAAGUCGGAUGUGAAAUCCCCGGGCUCAACCUGGGAACUGCAUUCGAAACUGGCAGGCUAGAGUCUUGUAGAGGGGGGUAGAAUUCCAGGGGUAGCGGUGAAAUGCGUAGAGAUCUGGGGGAAGACCGGUGGCGAAGGCGGCCCCCUGGACAAAGACUUACGCUCAGGUGCGAAAGCGUGGGGAGCAAACAGG